GUGGGUAUGGCGCAGUUGGUUAGCGCGCCAGAUUGUGGAUCUGGAGAUCCAGGGUUCGAGCCCCUGUACCCACCCGA
Molecule: transfer RNA, 77 nt
Filed under: Fusobacterium naviforme
Lineage: Bacteria; Fusobacteriati; Fusobacteriota; Fusobacteriia; Fusobacteriales; Fusobacteriaceae
Also listed under: 1 other name
Description: tRNA-His
Rfam family: tRNA
About the family: Transfer RNA (tRNA) molecules are approximately 80 nucleotides in length. Their secondary structure includes four short double-helical elements and three loops (D, anti-codon, and T loops). Further hydrogen bonds mediate the characteristic L-shaped molecular structure. tRNAs have two regions of fundamental functional importance: the anti-codon, which is responsible for specific mRNA codon recognition, and the 3' end, to which the tRNAs corresponding amino acid is attached (by aminoacyl-tRNA synthetases). tRNAs cope with the degeneracy of the genetic code in two manners: having more than one tRNA (with a specific anti-codon) for a particular amino acid; and 'wobble' base-pairing, i.e. permitting non-standard base-pairing at the 3rd anti-codon position.
Source: RNAcentral